RNAcentral lists this transfer RNA (75 nucleotides) under Acinetobacter baumannii. Its description in RNAcentral is "tRNA-Gln". It matches the Rfam family "tRNA". Rfam says of the family: Transfer RNA (tRNA) molecules are approximately 80 nucleotides in length. Their secondary structure includes four short double-helical elements and three loops (D, anti-codon, and T loops). Lineage: Bacteria; Pseudomonadati; Pseudomonadota; Gammaproteobacteria; Moraxellales; Moraxellaceae. The record is from RNAcentral.
AGGGGCGGAGCCAAGUGGUAAGGCAGCGGUCUUUGAUCCCGCCCUCCGUUGGUUGGAAUCCCGCCGCCCCUGCCA